AGAUACUGCUAACCUCUUUGUUAUUUGAGCAGCUGGAUGAGAUUCCUGAUUUCCAUAAUCUGUACCUGGAGGUUUAUACAGGAGAGGAUCACUGGGGCAGACUUGAACCAUGGUGCCCACAAGUGGGGAGGGUGCUCCAGCGGCCAUGGAAAGAACUUCCUUCUGCAGUUGGAGACAGCCUUCUGUGUGGCGGGUUAUCAUGCUGACUCGACUAACACAAACCCCCAUCUGGAUGCAGUCCAAACGCCAGAUGUGCCCCCGAUUAGUGUCAGUCUGGGGAAUGUUUCCAUGACUGAAAGGCUGAAGGACAGAGUGUGAUUUUCUACUUGGAAGAGACUCCAGGGCUCUGCAGAGAGGGAAGCCCUGCUGACCCAUUUCAGCAGACUGUGACACUUCAGCGACCUGCAAAUUCUACACAUUAGAGUUCAUAUUUUAUACAAACUCCGUACACCUAAGAUGUGGACUUAACAUUUCUACCAACAACAUCCAACUUCCAACAAAAGAUGCAGGCCCAUCAGAAGAUGAAAGCUACUAAUGAAGAUGCAUUAAAGAUGAUAUUUAUGGCCACCCCUUAGGGAAAAAAAGAUUCAUAAAUAAUUUCAUGGAAAUUACACCCAAAAUAGAGUCAUAAUUUCCUCAA
This 640-nucleotide long non-coding RNA is filed under the name Homo sapiens (human). RNAcentral describes it as "long intergenic non-protein coding RNA 1914". Lineage: Eukaryota; Metazoa; Chordata; Mammalia; Primates; Hominidae. The record is from RNAcentral.